GGGCACUGGCCGUUAGCUAUCUGCAAGUCGAACGAACUCUGGUAUUGAUUGGUGCUUGCAUCAUGAUUUACAUUUGAGUGAGUGGCGAACUGGUGAGUAACACGUGGGUAACCUGCCCAGAAGCGGGGGAUAACACCUGGAAACAGAUGCUAAUACCGCAUAACAACUUGGACCGCAUGAUCCUAGUUUGAAAGAUGGCUUCGCCUCUCACUUUUGGAUGGUCCCGCGGCGUAUUAGCUAGAUGGUGGGGUAACGGCUCACCAUGGCAAUGAUACGUAGCCGACCUGAGAGGGUAAUCGGCCACAUUGGGACUGAGACACGGCCCAACCCCCAACGGAAGGCACCAUUAGGAAACCUUCCCCAUGGAACAAAAUUCGAUGGAGCAACGCCGCGUGAGUGAAGAAGGGUUUCGGCUCGUAAAACUCUGUUGUUAAAGAGAACAUAUCUGAGAGUACUGUUCAGGUAUACGGUAUUUAACCAGAGCCACGGCUAACUACUUGCCACCACCCGCGGUAUUACUUAGGUGGCAACCUUUGUCCGAAUUUAUGGGCCUUAAAACAAUCUCAGGCGGUUUUUUAAUUCUAAUGUGAAACCCUUCGGUUCACCCAAAAAAUUGCAUCAAAAAUGGUAAAACUUGAUUGCAAAAAAGAACAUGGAAACUCCGUUGUACCGUGGAAAUGCUUAAAUAUUGAAAAAACCCAUGGCCAAAGGCGGUUGCCUGGCCUGUACUUGACCUUAAAGCUCAAACUAUGGUUACCAAACAGAAUUAAAACCCGGGUAUUCCGACCGUAACCAAGGAUGCAAUGGUUGAAGGUUUCCCCCUUCAGGCUGCCCUAACGCAUUAAGCAUUCCGCCUGGGGAGUACGGCCGCAAGGCUGAAACUCAAAGGAAUUGACGGGGGCCCGCACAAGCGGUGGAGCAUGUGGUUUAAUUCGAAGCUACGCGAAGAACCUUACCAGGCUUGACAACUAGCAAUCUAAAAAAUAUAUUUCCUUCGGGACUGGAUACGGGGGGGCAGGUUGCCUCCCUCGGCCGGAAAUUUGGGUAAUCCCGAACGAGCCACCCUUAUUACAUUGCCACAUCAGUGGGCCUCGGUGAACUGCGGGAAAACCGAAGAAGGGGGGAAAACUCAAUCUCAGCCCUUAGACUGGCUACCCCUGCUAAAUGGAGGUAACCAGUGGGACUCCGAGGUAGCAAUCUUAAAGCAUCCAGUCCGAUGAGGUGCACUCCCCAUGAUGGAUCCUAAAUCGGAACCAUGCCGGGAAACUUCCGGCCUGAACCCCCCUCCACCGGAUUGAACCCAACGUGGGUACCUUGGAACCCCAUGGGAAGAUAGGGAAUCAAGGCCGAACCUGGCUGGGCUAGGCCUAAGCUUAAAAAAAUGGUUGAAUUAACUAUAAGGACCGG
Molecule: ribosomal RNA, 1407 nt
Filed under: Lactobacillaceae bacterium
Lineage: Bacteria; Bacillati; Bacillota; Bacilli; Lactobacillales; Lactobacillaceae
Description: bacterial SSU rRNA
Rfam family: Bacterial small subunit ribosomal RNA
Source: RNAcentral